UACGUAGGGGGCAAGCGUUGUCCGGUUUCAUUGGGCGUAAAGAGCGUGUAGGCGGCCAGGUAGGUCGGUUGUGAAAACUGGAGGCUCAACCUUCAGAGGUCGACCGAAACCAUCUGGCUAGAGUCCGGGAGAGGAGAGUGGAAUUCCUGGUGUAGCGGUGAAAUGCGCAGAUAUCAGGAAGAACACCCGUGGCGAAGGCGGCUCUCUGGGACGGUACUGACGCUGAGACGCGAAAGCGUGGGGAGCGAACAGG
RNAcentral lists this ribosomal RNA (253 nucleotides) under uncultured bacterium. RNAcentral's name for it is "partial 16S ribosomal RNA". It matches the Rfam family "Bacterial small subunit ribosomal RNA", at positions 524 to 776 of the family's 1533-position model. The record is from RNAcentral.